This is a long non-coding RNA of Esox lucius (northern pike), 1253 nucleotides long. NCBI's taxonomy places the organism in Eukaryota, Metazoa, Chordata, Actinopteri, Esociformes, Esocidae. The record is from Ensembl.
CUUUGUAAGUUAACGCCUCUAUCUUUUUGGGCGUAGUAGAAGUAUAAAAAUGAUGUUUUGAAUGUUGAUCCUUAGACAUUGUGCGGCGACACGUGUCUCCAGAAGCUUCUGUAAUAAAUGGACGUAUAACUACGGUAAUUGCCCUGACUCCCUGUGUUUUAUUCUCCUUUCCAACAAACCAACUCGGGGAAGUGUUAUACUUCAACAAUUUGGGGGCUCGUUCCGGGAUUGGAAAGAGGAGAAGGAAUUCGAUCUUGUCCAGACAACCUACGCGAGAUUCACAGGUUCCGAGCCGGCUCAUGAUAAAGGUAAGCAGAGCCUGUUAUAUCUAAAUCUGCAUAUUGGCUAUGAACUAAAUUUUGAACCUGUGGAAAACGUAUUGGGAGGCUGGUUUAAAUUCAGGGGGUCAGGGGAACGGUCUGUGAGUUAGAGUCUCACUAUAAGUCGGGUUAGAGGCCCGUUACCGGUGUGUGAGUUAGAGUCUCACUGUAAGUCGGGUUAGAGGCCCGUUAAUCGUUCUAGGGUUGACUACCCUACGCCACUUCCCGACGGGGACGGUGGAGAGUUGCGAGUUAGAGUCUCGGCAACCAGUUGGGUUAGAGUCCCGGGGAGUUUUGGAACUCCCCAAAUUCUGUAUCUGGGUUAGAGUCCCGGGGAGUUUUAGAACUCCCCAAAUUCUGUAUCUGGGUUAGAGUCCCGGGGAGUUUUAGAACUCCCCAAAUUCUGUAUCUGGGUUAGAGGCCCGGGGAGUUUUAGAACUCCCCAAAUUCUGUAUCUGGGUUAGAGUCCCAGGGAGGUUUAGAACUCCCCAAAUUCUGUAUCUGGGUUGGAGUCCCGGGGAGUUUUAGAGCUCCCCAAAUUCUGUAUAAGAGAACUGGGUUCAAGUCCCAAAAAGUGUUGGGUCAGGUACCCGUUAAUCAUUUGUUAAUUAUUCUGAGUCCCGGUAACGUAAGUCAGGUUGAAAUGGACGGGAAGUGUGAGAGAGAAGUUGAUGACGAUGGGCGGUGUCCAGGCACUGGGAAGUGGAAACAAUUGGGGAUACAGGUGGCAAAUGUAAUGACUGUUGUAGGCAGGAUGGACCCAAUUCAGAAAGAAAAAGAAGGGAUAGAAGAGAAAUUGCGACAAGUGGUGAGCGAGGCAGGAUUAAGGAUGGAGGAAAGGAGAUCAUUACAUGUUAUUUUGUGGAAUAAGGAGAAGGAGUGUUCUAAAAAUCGAGAUAGAGUUAGAGACAAGAAGGAAACAGCCAAUUUGGU